This is a long non-coding RNA of Lampris incognitus (smalleye Pacific opah), 840 nucleotides long. RefSeq lists it as uncharacterized. The transcript is spliced from 2 exons. The record is from RefSeq and is a predicted model, not a curated record. Lineage: Eukaryota; Metazoa; Chordata; Actinopteri; Lampriformes; Lampridae.
GGAAGACAGCCGAGGAAAAUGGGGCCGUCUGCCGCUCCCGCGGCCGGACAAGGUGUGAAAAUAACGUCCAGAGACGCGCAGGUGUCUCUACCGAAACAUUCCUACUGGUUCGACUUUUUGCUCUUCGUCGUGUUCGACGUCUCGUUUUUCCUCGUCAUGUAUUUCAUCGUCCCGUAGCAGAAAGGUGUGUCACCUGGACUGAGGCCUGAAGCUCCUCCCACUUCCUGCUGUGAAGGACGGCGCCUCAGCUGCAGCCGAAAUGCUGCUUCGGUGGCUCUCAGUCCGCAAGUUUCAAAGAUGCAGAAGAUGGGAUUUCAGCUUUAAUACUCUGGGCGUCUUCUUCCCUUGUUAAUAUCUGAACCAGUCGACUCGCUGCCGUGGGGACGUUCAGUCAGGGUAGUGCUCGGGUUAGGUGGCGUCAUGUAAUGACUACCGGAGUGAGAUGUGUGUCCAUCUAAGCAUCACUGGUAUGGAAAAACGUACUGGUGACGUUAUGGGUUUUCCACACCACAGUGAAAUCACUAAGAAUUGCUUUUGAUUGUGUGCAAAGCAGAUUACCUUUCUUGUUUCUCUAUGUUUUGUAAUCUGACAGUGGCUAGUCAUGCUCUGGAGGUUUACUGGGAGUGACGCUUGCUUAACGUCACCAGUCCUCGUCUAAACCUGGUCAGACCCGAUCAGUGUUGUGGAAAGACUUAACGUGAUGUAAGGAGGUCUGGGUUGGGUGUGACCCCUUUCCUAAACUAUGAAUACUGUCACAUCACUAUUGUUGUAUCAUAAGAGGAAAAACAAGUCAAAACAAACCAGAUUUUAUACUAACUAAUAAAGGAUGAUUGCCAUGUU